UGGCGCCCUUGGCCGCGGGGGCAAUGUUUUUGUUUUCGUUCUACGUUCAGGUGUUGAGUAGCGACGUAUUAACCGUCGAUAACCAGCUGAAGCAGCUCAAGUUCUCGAGUGGAACGAGGUUGACCGUGCGCAGUGGCAGCCGUUGACAACAAAAACAAUGUAUGCACUCAGUUUCGCCGGAUGAGUGCCGGCGUCGAUCGCGAACCGCCAGAGCCGCCAAAUACCUCUCGUACAUCUCCAAGAACACCAAGAACAGGAGGUAUUCAUAAAGGUCUGAACCACGCGAGGAUCGUCUCGAAGCAUGGUAGCCUCAACAGACGCUUGCCGCCACACGCGAGGAGAAAGCAGGAGGCCCGAAGUUUGAAUGUGAAGAGGAGGUGCGAAGAGCUGGCCCUCACUUUUUCAAGGCAGCCGCAGAACACUACGAGCCCCGAAUCACUGCCGCGGCUGACUCAGCGGAUGCUGUGCUGCACCCUGCACUGCACAUGGUUCGAAGCACACUUCAGGGGACCAGUGCAUGCCCCUGAUGCAUCGUCGCGGUAUGUUUUGUACUGCUUUUCCUAGCGGUGCACUGAGCAGUCCAAUCUUGAAGGGAGCACGCGAGUGCGUAGCCAGUGCUCCAUGCAGCGAGGACCGCAAGCACCCGCGGAAGCUUGGAGCACACGCAGUGACGCCAGCAGCCGUGCACGCUGGCGUCGUCUGCUACUGUACCGUCCUUUCGUUCGGUGCGCAGAAAAAAAAAGGAGUGACCGCUCUGUUAAAAGUCUGAUGGUGAAGGCAUCCUUUACAGAAGCACUGUAUGGCUCUCUGCACGCUAGAAUGGGGGCUGUCGUUGAUGCUCGCAGAGGCGUCGCCCACAACUAAGCAGACGACCAAAGUCCUGAGCAGGUCCCAGGGAUCAUGGCAUCGAUGAGCUCGCUUUCGCCUUGUCCAAGGUAGCAGCGGAACACUACGGGCAGGCCCGGAGUCACCGCACCGGCUGGCUCACGGGCGUCGUCCUGUACUCUGCACGGCACUGCGUGUGGCUUAACCGGCCAAGCAGAGGGUCACUGCAUGACCUUUAUGAGGCGUCGCUAGCCAUUGUUUCAAAUCGUCCUGAUUCAUGGGCCAAGCCUUUCAAGACUGCACUCUUAGGCCCAGUCCUUUUUGGUGGAUCGGAUCUUGCCAUCUUCCCCUCUCGUGGCUUCCUGUUGUACUUAAAUAAAUUGUCUUAUUUUUUUCUUA
Molecule: RNA transcript, 1224 nt
Organism: Ixodes scapularis (black-legged tick)
Lineage: Eukaryota; Metazoa; Arthropoda; Arachnida; Ixodida; Ixodidae
Exons: 5
Source: RefSeq, a predicted model, not a curated record